RNAcentral lists this ribosomal RNA (458 nucleotides) under uncultured bacterium. Its description in RNAcentral is "bacterial SSU rRNA". It matches the Rfam family "Bacterial small subunit ribosomal RNA", at positions 1 to 507 of the family's 1533-position model. The record is from RNAcentral.
CGAUACGAGUUUGAUCAUGGCUCAGAACGAACGCUGGCGGCAGGCCUAACACAUGCAAGUCGAGCGCGCCCUUCGGGGUGAGCGGCGGACGGGUGAGUAACGCGUGGGAACGUGCCCUUUGCUACGGAAUAGUCUCGGGAAACUGGGGGUAAUACCGUAUGUGCCCUUCGGGGGAAGAUUUAUCGGCAAAGGAUCGGCCCGCGUUGGAUUAGGUAGUUGGUGGGGUAAUGGCCCACCAAGCCGACGAUCCAUAGCUGGUUUGAGAGGAUGAUCAGCCACACUGGGACUGAGACACGGCCCAGACUCCUACGGGAGGCAGCAGUGGGGGAAUCUUAGACAAUGGGCGCAAGCCUGAUCUAGCCAUGCCGCGUGAGCGAUGAAGGCCUUAGGGUUGUAAAGCUCUUUCGUGGGGGAAGAUAAUGACUGUACCCCAAGAAGAAGCCCCGGCUAACUCCGUG